UCCUCGUAGCUCAACUGGAUAGAGCCCAGGUUUCCUAAACCUGUAAUAGAGGUUCAAGUCCCCUCGAGGA
Molecule: transfer RNA, 70 nt
Filed under: Candidatus Nealsonbacteria bacterium CG_4_8_14_3_um_filter_39_7
Lineage: Bacteria; Candidatus Nealsoniibacteriota
Description: tRNA-Arg
Rfam family: tRNA
About the family: Transfer RNA (tRNA) molecules are approximately 80 nucleotides in length. Their secondary structure includes four short double-helical elements and three loops (D, anti-codon, and T loops).
Source: RNAcentral